Molecule: ribosomal RNA, 430 nt
Filed under: uncultured bacterium
Lineage: Bacteria
Description: bacterial SSU rRNA
Rfam family: Bacterial small subunit ribosomal RNA
Source: RNAcentral
GUGGGGAAUAUUGGACAAUGGGCGCAAGCCUGAUCCAGCAAUGCCGCGUGUGUGAAGAAGGCCUGCGGGUUGUAAAGCACUUUCAGUAGAGAAGAAAUGCCUAAGGUUAAUAACCUUAAGUCUUGACGUAACCUACAGAAGAAGCACCGGCUAACUCCGUGCCAGCAGCCGCGGUAAUACGGAGGGUGCAAGCGUUAAUCGGAAUUACUGGGCGUAAAGCGCGCGUAGGCGGCUUUGUAAGUCGGAUGUGAAAGCCCUGGGCUCAACCUGGGAAUUGCAUUCGAUACUGCAGAGCUAGAGUAUGGUAGAGGGAAGUGGAAUUUCCGGUGUAGCGGUGAAAUGCGUAGAUAUCGGAAGGAACACCAGUGGCGAAGGCGACUUCCUGGGCCAAUACUGACGCUGAGGUGCGAAAGCGUGGGGAGCAAACAGG